ACGUACACUCCUACGGGAGGCAGCAGUGGGGAAUAUUGGACAAUGGGCGCAAGCCUGAUCCAGCCAUGCCGCGUGAGUGAUGACGGCCCUAGGGUUGUAAAGCUCUUUCACCGGUGAAGAUAAUGACGGUAACCGGAGAAGAAGCCCCGGCUAACUUCGUGCCAGCAGCCGCGGUAAUACGAAGGGGGCUAGCGUUGUUCGGAUUUACUGGGCGUAAAGCGCACGUAGGCGGACUAUUAAGUCAGGGGUGAAAUCCCGGGGCUCAACCCCGGAACUGCCUUUGAUACUGGUAGUCUUGAGUUCGAGAGAGGUGAGUGGAAUUCCGAGUGUAGAGGUGAAAUUCGUAGAUAUUCGGAGGAACACCAGUGGCGAAGGCGGCUCACUGGCUCGAUACUGACGCUGAGGUGCGAAAGCGUGGGGAGCAAACAGGAUUAGAAACCCCUGUAGUCCCAUGAU
RNAcentral lists this ribosomal RNA (456 nucleotides) under uncultured organism. Its description in RNAcentral is "partial 16S ribosomal RNA". It matches the Rfam family "Bacterial small subunit ribosomal RNA", at positions 329 to 801 of the family's 1533-position model. The record is from RNAcentral.